GUGCUGCAUCUCAGUGGUAGAGCACUUGCCUAGCAUGCGAGAGGCCUUGGGUUGGAUACUCAGCACCACA
Molecule: transfer RNA, 70 nt
Filed under: Marmota monax (woodchuck)
Lineage: Eukaryota; Metazoa; Chordata; Mammalia; Rodentia; Sciuridae
Description: tRNA.Ala
Source: RNAcentral